GGCCAUGUUGGUUAACAGAUCCUCAUCUGCUGGACGUCUGGCGAUGAUCUUUAUCGGUUGUCGUCAGUUGCCAGCACGUUUACUUUGAGAAAAUUAGAGUGCUAAAAGCAGGCUCACGCCUAUAUAUAUUGCAUGGAAUAAUGAAAUAAGAUCUCGAUUUUAUUUCGUUGGUUUUAGAAAUUGAGAUAAUGAUUAAUAGGAUCAGAGGGGGGCGUACGUACUGUGGUGUGAGAGGUGAAAUUCUUGGAUCGCCACAGGACGAACAGCAGCGAAGGCGUUCGCCAAGAAUGUUUUCAUUAAUCAAGAACGAAAGUUUGAGGUUCGAAGACGAUUAGAUACCGUCCUAGUUCAAACCAUAAACGUUGCCAACUGUCUUUUAGAUGCGGUUAUUUAUAUGACUCAUCUGGCGGAUCUCGAGAAAUCUAAGUUUUUAGGUUCCGGGGGAAGUAUGGUUGCAAAGCUGAAACUUAAAAGAAUUGACGGAAGGACACACAAGAAGUGGAGCCUGUGGCCUAAUUUGACUCAACACGGGAAACCUUACUCGGCCAGGACACUUUUAGGAUUGACAGAUUGAGAGCUCUUUCUUGAUUAGGUGGGGUGGUGGUGCAUGGUCGUUCGUAGUUCGUGGAGCGAUUUGUCUGAUUAAUUUCGAUAACGAACGAGACUCCGGCUUACUAAAUAGUCUAAAGUUCGAAGGGACUUUUCAAGACUUCUUAGCAGGAUAAGUGG
This 729-nucleotide ribosomal RNA is filed under the name uncultured eukaryote. Its description in RNAcentral is "SSU rRNA". It matches the Rfam family "Eukaryotic small subunit ribosomal RNA", at positions 674 to 1426 of the family's 1831-position model. The record is from RNAcentral.